RNAcentral lists this ribosomal RNA (292 nucleotides) under uncultured bacterium. RNAcentral describes it as "partial 16S ribosomal RNA". It matches the Rfam family "Bacterial small subunit ribosomal RNA", at positions 505 to 796 of the family's 1533-position model. The record is from RNAcentral.
GUGCCAGCAGCCGCGGUAAUACGGAGGGUGCGAGCGUUGUCCGGAAUCACUGGGCGUAAAGGGCGCGUAGGCGGCUUGGCAAGGGGGCGGUGAAAGCCCGGGGCUCAACCCCGGGUCAGCCGAACCGACUGCUAGGCUAGAGCAUGCUAGGGGUUGGUGGAAUUCCGGGUGUAGCGGUGGAAUGCGUAGAGAUCCGGAAGAACACCGGUGGCGAAGGCGGCCAACUGGGGCAUGUCUGACGCUGAUGCGCGACAGCGUGGGGAGCAAACAGGAUUAGAUACCCUGGUAGUCC